GACAAUGUCCCCAAGGGUGUGACACUGUCCCCAAGGGUGUGGCACUGUCCUAAGGGUGGUGUGACACUGUCCCCAAGGGUGUGACACCGUCCUGGGUGUGUGGCACUGUCCCCGAGGGUGUGGCACUGUCCCCAGACGGUGACAAAGCCCAGCCAGGUGACAAUGCUCCGGUUUAUUUACAAGCUGGGGGAGGGGGGGAGGUGGCACCGUCCCUGUCCCUGUCCCCAGGGCUCCCAGUGGCUCCCAGUAAGUCCCAGUUCCCGGGAGUGGCCCUGCAGCCCAAAGGGACAGGAGGGGACAGCAGGGACAGCAGGACACCGCCCCAAAGUCCCCGUGUCCCCUCCGGGGUCCUCGGCACAGCGGGGAGCAGCGGUGGCACCUCUGAUGUCACCUCCUGGUGGCACCUCCUGGUGGCAGCUCCUUGUGUCACCUCCGAGGUUCUUCAGUGUCACAUCCCAGGUGUCCCCAGGGUCGAGUUCUUGGUGUCCUCAAUGUCCUCGAUGUCCCAUCUCCAGUGUCCCCAGUGUCACAUCUCCAGUGUCCUCAGUGUCACAGCCCUGGUGUCCCCAAUGUCCUGUUCUCAGUGUCCCCAAUGUCACAUUCCUGGUGUCCUUGGUGCCCCAUCCCAGUGUCCCAGUUGUCCCCAGUGUCCCCGUGUCACAAGGUGAAGAUCUCGUCCUUGCUGUCCCCAGUGUCCCCAGUGUCACAAGGUGAAGAUCUUGUCCCCAGUGUCCCCAGUGUCACAAGGUGAAGAUCUCGUCCUCGCUGUCCCCAGUGUCCCCAGUGUCCCCAGUGUCACAAGGUGAAGAUCUCAUCCUCGCUGUCCCCAGUGUCCCCAAUGUCCCCAGUGU
Long non-coding RNA from Oenanthe melanoleuca, 851 nucleotides. RefSeq lists it as uncharacterized. The transcript is spliced from 3 exons. The record is from RefSeq and is a predicted model, not a curated record. NCBI's taxonomy places the organism in Eukaryota, Metazoa, Chordata, Aves, Passeriformes, Muscicapidae.